GAGAGAAGUGGCGGUCAAGAUAGCCAAGGAGACUGCCUAUCACCUAUUUAAAAAAAGACUUCUUAAUUUUUGAGAAGACAAGAAAAUUAAGAAGCCUUUUUUUUUUUUUUUGAAAGGUGCAGGCAAGUCAUCCUUGGCUACCAAACAAAUCGGCUCUUCUCU
This is a non-coding RNA of Beta vulgaris subsp. vulgaris (sugar beet), 162 nucleotides long. The record is from Rfam. NCBI's taxonomy places the organism in Eukaryota, Viridiplantae, Streptophyta, Magnoliopsida, Caryophyllales, Amaranthaceae.